Molecule: long non-coding RNA, 165 nt
Organism: Hibiscus syriacus
Lineage: Eukaryota; Viridiplantae; Streptophyta; Magnoliopsida; Malvales; Malvaceae
Exons: 3
Source: RefSeq, a predicted model, not a curated record
CGAUGAAUUUCUUCAAGAGACUGACAUGAAAUACUGGGUGGAGUCUUGAUGAGGCUGGGCAAUUGAAGACUGCCUAUAUGGCUGCAAUUUGAGGUACUGGGCCAUCCGGUUGGGCUUAUCCUCCUUGUUCUGGCUGACUUUAGCCUGCUUCAACCCAUCAGGUAA